ACAAGUGUAGUAAGGCCACAGGGAGGGCCAAGCCGGCCCUGAUCGAUGAGCAAUAGAUGAUCCCUGCCAUCAUGCUUCAGCUCGGGGCCCUCUGCUCGUUCAGACGCAAGCCCUUAGGAGCAAUUUUUUAAAAUUAUUAUUAUUAAUCUUCAUUUUCUUCUGGCUCAGGAGAAGGUACCGGGCUAAUAGAUCAGGGAGGCAGAGAUCUGUUGGUAAUUUAACCUCCCAAGAGAAAACAAGUUCCCUCGUCUCUUCCCUGUGGAGGGGUCAGGAGAUUUGCAUGUCUCUAUUUACCUGCCAUGAAACAUAUCCCAAGUCACCCUAAAAGAGCAAAAAGCCCCAGGCAUGAGGAUUUGUAAGAACUCACUUUCAGCACCUGAUUUCUGAAAACGGCUGCAGCUAUAGACAACAUAACGACCCUCGCAAGACAUUCCUGUCCCAACCCCCAGAGUCUGUGAAUAGGUGACCUUACAAAGAGGACUCUGCAGGUGGGACGGAGGGAAGGAUGCUGAGUUGGGCAUUACCUGGGUGGGCCUGGAUUACCUGGGUGGGCCUGACACGCUUCCAAGGGAAAGAGGCGGCAUUUGCCUCACAAAGGGAAUUAUCAAUAAAAGAAUAGGCACAAGGGCUACAAGCCAAGGCAGGCAGGCAGCCUCUGAAGACUGGGAAAGUGGGGAGGCUUCUCUAGAGGGAAGACAGCCCUGCUGACACCAUGAUUUUUCGCCUCUAAGACCAGAUUUCUGAUCUCCAGAACUAUUAAGAGAAUAAACCUGUGUGACUUUAAGCCA
This is a long non-coding RNA of Odocoileus virginianus texanus, 788 nucleotides long. RefSeq lists it as uncharacterized. Lineage: Eukaryota; Metazoa; Chordata; Mammalia; Artiodactyla; Cervidae. The record is from RefSeq and is a predicted model, not a curated record.